Molecule: ribosomal RNA, 1361 nt
Filed under: uncultured organism
Description: 16S ribosomal RNA
Rfam family: Bacterial small subunit ribosomal RNA
Source: RNAcentral
GCUGGCGGCGCUGCUUAACACAUGCAAGUCGAACGAUGAAGCCUAGCUUGCUAGGUGGAUUAGUGGCGAACGGGUGAGUAAUACGUGAGUAACCUACCUUUAACUCUGGGAUAAGCCUGGGAAACUGGGUCUAAUACCGGAUACGACCAAUCUCCGCAUGGGGUGUUGGUGGAAAGCGUUAUGUAGUGGUUAUAGAUGGGCUCACGGCCUAUCAGCUUGUUGGUGAGGUAACGGCUCACCAAGGCGACGACGGGUAGCCGGCCUGAGAGGGUGACCGGCCACACUGGGACUGAGACACGGCCCAGACUCCUACGGGAGGCAGCAGUGGGGAAUAUUGCACAAUGGGCGCAAGCCUGAUGCAGCGACGCCGCGUGAGGGAUGACGGCCUUCGGGUUGUAAACCUCUGUUAGCAGGGAAGAAGAGAGAUUGACGGUACCUGCAGAGAAAGCGCCGGCUAACUACGUGCCAGCAGCCGCGGUAAUACGUAGGGCGCGAGCGUUGUCCGGAAUUAUUGGGCGUAAAGAGCUUGUAGGCGGUUUGUCGCGUCUGCUGUGAAAGGCCGGAGCUUAACUCCGUGUAUUGCAGUGGGUACGGGCAGACUAGAGUGCAGUAGGGGAGACUGGAAUUCCUGGUGUAGCGGUGGAAUGCGCAGAUAUCAGGAGGAACACCGAUGGCGAAGGCAGGUCUCUGGGCUGUAACUGACGCUGAGAAGCGAAAGCAUGGGGAGCGAACAGGAUUAGAUACCCUGGUAGUCCAUGCCGUAAACGUUGGGCACUAGGUGUGGGGGACAUUCCACGUUUUCCGCGCCGUAGCUAACGCAUUAAGUGCCCCGCCUGGGGAGUACGGCCGCAAGGCUAAAACUCAAAGAAAUUGACGGGGGCCCGCACAAGCGGCGGAGCAUGCGGAUUAAUUCGAUGCAACGCGAAGAACCUUACCAAGGCUUGACAUAUACUGGACCGCAUCAGAGAUGGUGUUUCCCUUCGGGGCUGGUAUACAGGUGGUGCAUGGUUGUCGUCAGCUCGUGUCGUGAGAUGUUGGGUUAAGUCCCGCAACGAGCGCAACCCUCGUUCUAUGUUGCCAGCACGUUAUGGUGGGGACUCAUAGGAGACUGCCGGGGUCAACUCGGAGGAAGGUGGGGAUGACGUCAAAAUCAUCAUGCCCCUUAUGUCUUGGGCUUCACGCAUGCUACAAUGGCCGGUACAGAGGGUUGCGAUACUGUGAGGUGGAGCUAAUCCCUAAAAGCCGGUCUCAGUUCGGAUUGGGGUCUGCAACUCGACCCCCUGAAGUCGGAGUCGCUAGUAAUCGCAGAUCAGCAACGCUGCGGUGAGUACGUUCCCGGGCCUUGUACACACCGCCCGUCA